ACAGUGGCAGACGGGUGAGUAACGCGUGGGAAUCUACCUAGCUCUACGGAAUAGCUUCGGGAAACUGGAAUUAAUACCGUAUACGCCCUCCGGGGGAAAGAUUUAUCGGAGUUAGAUGAGCCCGCGUUAGAUUAGCUAGUUGGUGGGGUAAUGGCCUACCAAGGCGACGAUCUAUAGCUGGUCUGAGAGGAUGAUCAGCCACACUGGGACUGAGACACGGCCCAGACUCCUACGGGAGGCAGCAGUGGGGAAUAUUGGACAAUGGGCGAAAGCCUGAUCCAGCCAUGCCGCGUGUGUGAUGAAGGCCUUAGGGUUGUAAAGCACUUUCAACGGGGAAGAUAAUGACGGUACCCGUAGAAGAAGCCCCGGCUAACUUCGUGCCAGCAGCCGCGGUAAUACGAAGGGGGCUAGCGUUGUUCGGAAUUACUGGGCGUAAAGCGCGCGUAGGCGGAUUGAUCAGUUAGGGGUGAAAUCCCAAGGCUCAACCUUGGAACUGCCUCUAAUACUGUCAGUCUAGAGUUCUAGAGAGGUGAGUGGAAUUCCGAGUGUAGAGGUGAAAUUCGUAGAUAUUCGGAGGAACACCAGUGGCGAAGGCGGCUCACUGGCUAGAUACUGACGCUGAGGUGCGAAAGUGUGGGGAGCAA
This 644-nucleotide ribosomal RNA is filed under the name Pseudohoeflea suaedae. RNAcentral's name for it is "bacterial SSU rRNA". It matches the Rfam family "Bacterial small subunit ribosomal RNA", at positions 92 to 771 of the family's 1533-position model. The record is from RNAcentral. Lineage: Bacteria; Pseudomonadati; Pseudomonadota; Alphaproteobacteria; Hyphomicrobiales; Rhizobiaceae.